Molecule: unclassified non-coding RNA, 169 nt
Filed under: uncultured Ascomycota
Lineage: Eukaryota; Fungi; Ascomycota
Description: sequence contains ITS1
Source: RNAcentral
CUGAGUGUAAAAACUCCCAAACCCACUGUGAACAUACCACUGUUGCUUCGGCGGAUCCGCCCCGGGCGCGCCCUCACAGGCGUGCCCCGGAACCAGGCGCCCGCCGGAGGACCUAAAACUCUUUGUUUCUUAUAGAGCAUCUCUGAGUGUGAUUUUACAAAUCAAAUCA